GAAUGCUUCCUGCGGUGAGGAGGGGGGAGAGGAGAGACGAGUUAGCAGGGAAUCUCAGGCUUCCAGCCUCCCAGCCUGAGCCUCGCCCUCUCCCGUUUUUGGUUUGACGUCAGCCCUUCUGCGUGCUCGGGGGUGGGGAGAGGGUGGAAGAAGAGGGAGGGGCCCCAGAUCCCCUCUAAGGCAGAUAAUUUGCGCUUUACAAAGAGAUCACUGCUUCUGCAGAUGGA
Pipistrellus kuhlii (Kuhl's pipistrelle) is the source of this 227-nucleotide long non-coding RNA. RefSeq lists it as uncharacterized. The transcript has 2 exons. NCBI's taxonomy places the organism in Eukaryota, Metazoa, Chordata, Mammalia, Chiroptera, Vespertilionidae. The record is from RefSeq and is a predicted model, not a curated record.